GUAGGGUGCAAGCGUUAAUCGGAAUUACUGGGCGUAAAGCGUGCGCAGGCGGUUUGUAAGUCUGACGUGAAAUCCCCGGGGCUUAACCUGGGGAAUUGCGUUGGAGACUGCAAGGCUGGAGUCUGGCAGAGGGGGGUAGAAUUCCACGUGUAGCAGUGAAAUGCGUAGAGAUGUGGAGGAACACCGAUGGCGAAGGCAGCCCCCUGGGUCAAGACUGACGCUCAUGCACGAAAGCGUGGGGAGCGAACAGGAUUAGAUACCCUGGUAGUCCACGCCCUAAACGAUGUCUACUAGUUGUCGGGUCUUAAUUGACUUGGUAACGCAGCUAACGCGUGAAGUAGACCGCCUGGGGAGUACGGUCGCAAAGAUUAA
This 372-nucleotide ribosomal RNA is filed under the name uncultured organism. RNAcentral describes it as "partial 16S ribosomal RNA". It matches the Rfam family "Bacterial small subunit ribosomal RNA", at positions 527 to 897 of the family's 1533-position model. The record is from RNAcentral.